GCAGCAAAGUACAAUUGCUGGCAUUGAAGCACGGAUGGGUGUUAUGUUCUAUAUGGUGGGAAGAUAUGAAGAGGCACACAGUUCCUUUGAAAAUGCUGUAGCAAAACUUAGAGCUGUGGGUGAGAGGAAGUCAGCCUUCUUUGGGGUUGUUUUGAAUCAGAUGGGAUUGUCUUCUGUUCAAUUGUUCAAAAUAGAUGAGGCUGCUGAAUUAUUUGAAGAAGCAAGACAAAUUCUGGAACAGGAGUGUGGUCCUUGUCAUCAAGAUACUCUUGGUGUCUACAGCAAUCUUGCAGCAACGCUUAGAGCUGGGGGUGAGAGGAAGUCAGCCUUCUUUGGGGUUGUCUUGAAUCAGAUGGGAUUGUCUUCUGUUCAAUUGUUCAAAAUAGAUGAGGCUGCUGAAUUAUUUGAAGAAGCAAGACAAAUUCUGGAACAGGAGUGUGGUCCUUGUCAUCAAGAUACUCUUGG
Molecule: long non-coding RNA, 465 nt
Filed under: Nicotiana benthamiana
Lineage: Eukaryota; Viridiplantae; Streptophyta; Magnoliopsida; Solanales; Solanaceae
Description: long non-coding RNA (NBEN_LNC026718)
Source: RNAcentral